RNAcentral lists this ribosomal RNA (305 nucleotides) under uncultured bacterium. RNAcentral describes it as "bacterial SSU rRNA". It matches the Rfam family "Bacterial small subunit ribosomal RNA", at positions 333 to 654 of the family's 1533-position model. The record is from RNAcentral.
AAUGUCCUACGGGGGGCAGCAGUGGGGGAUAUUGCACAAUGGGGGAAACCCUGAUGCAGCGACGCCGCGUGAGCGAUGAAGUAUUUCGGUAUGUAAAGCUCUCUCAGCAGGGAAGAAAAUGACGGUACCUGACUAAGAAGCCCCGGCUAACUACGUGCCAGCAGCCGCGGUAAUACGUAGGGGGGCAAGCGUUAUCCGGAUUUACUGGGUGUAAAGGGAGCGUAGACGGCAGUGCAAGUCUGAAGUGAAAGGCAAGGGCUCAACCCUUGGACUGCUUUGGCAAUUGUGCUGCUGGAGUGUCGGAG